Phoenix dactylifera (date palm) is the source of this 936-nucleotide non-coding RNA. Lineage: Eukaryota; Viridiplantae; Streptophyta; Magnoliopsida; Arecales; Arecaceae. The record is from RefSeq and is a predicted model, not a curated record.
GGGGUUCUCACAAACCCUAGGUCCCUAAGCCUUUUCUAUUCCCCGUGCGCUGUGCAGCCAUGCGGCCGUGUCGUGCGAGGGCUUGGAGUUGGAAGCACCGAGCACGCGAGUCCGAGAGGAGGGGAAGAUCGCCGCGGAUAGGAGGAGGGGAAGAAGAUCGCCCCGAGUCUGAGAGGAGGGGAAGACGAAGAUCACCGCAGUUAGGAGGAGGGGAAGAUCGCCGUGUUCUUCCGAUGAAGUGAGAGCUUCGUUACUUUUUUUCCUUCUUUGUGAAGUUGUUGCUCUUCUGGUCCUCGGUGUUCUCCGAUUCCGGCUUCUUUCUUCGGUGGAGUGAGAGCUUGGAACCCUAGGAUCGUCAGAUCGGACGGCGGAUCGGCCCAGAAAAUAGAGUUGAGAACCGUUUCUUGGAUAGGAGAGGUGGAAGCUCCUGGAAUUAGCUGGAUCUCUCAUUGCCGAAAGCAAUUCCAUUUACUUGGAUCUUAAAUAAGAUUAUCAUCUACCUCAUGUUUGUGAAUGUCUGCACUGUAAUACUAAUUUGUUAAAAGAUAGAGAUUGUACCAAUAAGCUGCAACCUUACUUCAGUGAAGCGUGUCCUUUGCAGGCAAAAAUUCUCAAGGUGAAAUUGUUGUUAACAUUGAAAGACUACUCAAGUGCUAUUUCAGAGACUGGAUACAUACUUAAACAAGAUGAAGAUAAUUUGGAGGCACUACUGCUUCGUGGCCAUUCUUAUUAUUAUCUCUCAGACCAUGAUGUUGCUACAUGGUUUGACUUAUGAAAAUUCCUAUACAGAAUUACAGAUAUAUGUAAAAGGUUUCAAACCUUGUGUCAUAUGUGUACUCUUUUGCACUUUGCUGCAAUGAUGUUCUCCUUUUAUUUAAGCUGCAGUUAUUAGCUCAACUCUGCAGAUUAUCACUUCCAAACAUUUGCAAUGUCUAA